Molecule: long non-coding RNA, 205 nt
Organism: Coregonus clupeaformis (lake whitefish)
Lineage: Eukaryota; Metazoa; Chordata; Actinopteri; Salmoniformes; Salmonidae
Exons: 3
Source: RefSeq, a predicted model, not a curated record
GGAGGAAAAGAAGAAGGAGAAGAUGAAGAAGAAGGAUUCUAGUUCUUCAUCCUCUGACAGCUCCUCAUCCUCCAACCUCUGACAGUGAUGAUGACAAAAAGAAAAAGAUGAAGAAAAAAGGAUUCCAGCUCUGAUGAUUCAGAUAGCGAGAAAGACAAGAAGAAGAAGAAGAAGAAGAAGAAGAAGAAGAAGACAAAGAAAAAGG